Molecule: ribosomal RNA, 1489 nt
Filed under: Lactiplantibacillus plantarum
Lineage: Bacteria; Bacillati; Bacillota; Bacilli; Lactobacillales; Lactobacillaceae
Description: bacterial SSU rRNA
Rfam family: Bacterial small subunit ribosomal RNA
Source: RNAcentral
GACGAACGCUGGCGGCGUGCCUAAUACAUGCAAGUCGAACGAACUCUGGUAUUGAUUGGUGCUUGCAUCAUGAUUUACAUUUGAGUGAGUGGCGAACUGGUGAGUAACACGUGGGAAACCUGCCCAGAAGCGGGGGAUAACACCUGGAAACAGAUGCUAAUACCGCAUAACAACUUGGACCGCAUGGUCCGAGUUUGAAAGAUGGCUUCGGCUAUCACUUUUGGAUGGUCCCGCGGCGUAUUAGCUAGAUGGUGAGGUAACGGCUCACCAUGGCAAUGAUACGUAGCCGACCUGAGAGGGUAAUCGGCCACAUUGGGACUGAGACACGGCCCAAACUCCUACGGGAGGCAGCAGUAGGGAAUCUUCCACAAUGGACAAAAGUCUGAUGGAGCAACGCCGCGUGAGUGAAGAAGGGUUUCGGCUCGUAAAACUCUGUUGUUAAAGAAGAACAUAUCUGAGAGUAACUGUUCAGGUAUUGACGGUAUUUAACCAGAAAGCCACGGCUAACUACGUGCCAGCAGCCGCGGUAAUACGUAGGUGGCAAGCGUUGUCCGGAUUUAUUGGGCGUAAAGCGAGCGCAGGCGGUUUUUUAAGUCUGAUGUGAAAGCCUUCGGCUCAACCGAAGAAGUGCAUCGGAAACUGGGGAACCUGAGUGCAGAAGAGGACAGUGGAACUCCAUGUGUAGCGGUGAAAUGCGUAGAUAUAUGGAAGAACACCAGUGGCGAAGGCGGCUGUCUGGUCUGUAACUGACGCUGAGGCUCGAAAGUAUGGGUAGCAAACAGGAUUAGAUACCCUGGUAGUCCAUACCGUAAACGAUGAAUGCUAAGUGUUGGAGGGUUUCCGCCCUUCAGUGCUGCAGCUAACGCAUUAAGCAUUCCGCCUGGGGAGUACGGCCGCAAGGCUGAAACUCAAAGGAAUUGACGGGGGCCCGCACAAGCGGUGGAGCAUGUGGUUUAAUUCGAAGCUACGCGAAGAACCUUACCAGGUCUUGACAUACUAUGCAAAUCUAAGAGAUUAGACGUUCCCUUCGGGGACAUGGAUACAGGUGGUGCAUGGUUGUCGUCAGCUCGUGUCGUGAGAUGUUGGGUUAAGUCCCGCAACGAGCGCAACCCUUAUUAUCAGUUGCCAGCAUUAAGUUGGGCACUCUGGUGAGACUGCCGGUGACAAACCGGAGGAAGGUGGGGAUGACGUCAAAUCAUCAUGCCCCUUAUGACCUGGGCUACACACGUGCUACAAUGGAUGGUACAACGAGUUGCGAACUCGCGAGAGUAAGCUAAUCUCUUAAAGCCAUUCUCAGUUCGGAUUGUAGGCUGCAACUCGCCUACAUGAAGUCGGAAUCGCUAGUAAUCGCGGAUCAGCAUGCCGCGGUGAAUACGUUCCCGGGCCUUGUACACACCGCCCGUCACACCAUGAGAGUUUGUAACACCCAAAGUCGGUGGGGUAACCUUUUAGGAACCAGCCGCCUAAGGUGGGACAGAUGAUUAGGGUG